UACGAAGGGGGCUAGCGUUGCUCGGAAUUACUGGGCGUAAAGGGCGCGUAGGCGGCCGAUCAAGUCAGAGGUGAAAGCCCAAGGCUCAACCUUGGAAUUGCCUUUGAUACUGUUCGGCUAGAGACCGGAAGAGGUUAGUGGAACUGCGAGUGUAGAGGUGAAAUUCGUAGAUAUUCGCAAGAACACCAGUGGCGAAGGCGGCUAACUGGUCCGGUUCUGACGCUGAGGCGCGAAAGCGUGGGGAGCAAACAGG
RNAcentral lists this ribosomal RNA (253 nucleotides) under uncultured bacterium. RNAcentral describes it as "partial 16S ribosomal RNA". It matches the Rfam family "Bacterial small subunit ribosomal RNA", at positions 524 to 776 of the family's 1533-position model. The record is from RNAcentral.